RNAcentral lists this ribosomal RNA (554 nucleotides) under uncultured bacterium. Its description in RNAcentral is "partial 16S ribosomal RNA". It matches the Rfam family "Bacterial small subunit ribosomal RNA", at positions 355 to 902 of the family's 1533-position model. The record is from RNAcentral.
UGGGGAAUUUUGGACAAUGGGCGAAAGCCUGAUCCAGCAAUGCCGCGUGUGUGAAGAAGGCCUUCGGGUUGUAAAGCACUUUUGUCCGGAAAGAAAUCCUUGGCUCUAAUACAGUCGGGGGAUGACGGUACCGGAAGAAUAAGCACCGGCUAACUACGUGCCAGCAGCCGCGGUAAUACGUAGGGUGCAAGCGUUAAUCGGAAUUACUGGGCGUAAAGCGUGCGCAGGCGGUUUGCUAAGACCGAUGUGAAGUCCCCGGGCUCAACCUGGGAACUGCAUUGGUGACUGGCAGGCUAGAGUAUGGCAGAGGGGGGUAGAAUUCCACGUGUAGCAGUGAAAUGCGUAGAGAUGUGGAGGAAUACCGAUGGCGAAGGCAGCCCCCUGGGCCAAUACUGACGCUCAUGCACGAAAGCGUGGGGAGCAAACAGGAUUAGAUACCCUGGUAGUCCACGCCCUAAACGAUGUCAACUAGUUGUUGGGGAUUCAUUUCCUUAGUAACGUAGCUAACGCGUGAAGUUGACCGCCUGGGGAGUACGGUCGCAAGAUUAAAACUC